This 663-nucleotide ribosomal RNA is filed under the name alpha proteobacterium IMCC15263. RNAcentral's name for it is "bacterial SSU rRNA". It matches the Rfam family "Bacterial small subunit ribosomal RNA", at positions 38 to 749 of the family's 1533-position model. The record is from RNAcentral. Lineage: Bacteria; Pseudomonadati; Pseudomonadota; Alphaproteobacteria.
UGCGGCAGGCCUAACACAUGCAAGUCGAGCGCACCUUCGGGUGAGCGGCGGACGGGUUAGUAACGCGUGGGAACGUACCCUUUUCUACGGAAUAGCCUUUGGAAACGAAGAGUAAUACCGUAUACGCCCUUUGGGGGAAAGAUUUAUCGGAGAAGGAUCGGCCCGCGUUAGAUUAGAUAGUUGGUGGGGUAACGGCCUACCAAGUCUACGAUCUAUAGCUGGUUUUAGAGGAUGAUCAGCAACACUGGGACUGAGACACGGCCCAGACUCCUACGGGAGGCAGCAGUGGGGAAUCUUAGACAAUGGGCGCAAGCCUGAUCUAGCCAUGCCGCGUGAGUGAUGAAGGCCUUAGGGUCGUAAAGCUCUUUCGCCUGUGAUGAUAAUGACAGUAGCAGGUAAAGAAACCCCGGCUAACUCCGUGCCAGCAGCCGCGGUAAUACGGAGGGGGUUAGCGUUGUUCGGAAUUACUGGGCGUAAAGCGCACGUAGGCGGAUUGGAAAGUUGGGGGUGAAAUCCCGGGGCUCAACCCCGGAACUGCCUCCAAAACUAUCAGUCUAGAGUUCGAGAGAGGUGAGUGGAAUUCCAAGUGUAGAGGUGAAAUUCGUAGAUAUUUGGAGGAACACCAGUGGCGAAGGCGGCUCACUGGCUCGAUACUGACGCUGA